This 1540-nucleotide ribosomal RNA is filed under the name Staphylococcus aureus DAR3587. RNAcentral's name for it is "16S ribosomal RNA". It matches the Rfam family "Bacterial small subunit ribosomal RNA". RNAcentral also lists the same sequence under 1 other name. The record is from RNAcentral. Lineage: Bacteria; Bacillati; Bacillota; Bacilli; Caryophanales; Staphylococcaceae.
AGAGUUUGAUCCUGGCUCAGGAUGAACGCUGGCGGCGUGCCUAAUACAUGCAAGUCGAGCGAACGGACGAGAAGCUUGCUUCUCUGAUGUUAGCGGCGGACGGGUGAGUAACACGUGGAUAACCUACCUAUAAGACUGGGAUAACUUCGGGAAACCGGAGCUAAUACCGGAUAAUAUUUUGAACCGCAUGGUUCAAAAGUAAAAGACGGUCUUGCUGUCACUUAUAGAUGGAUCCGCGCUGCAUUAGCUAGUUGGUAAGGUAACGGCUUACCAAGGCAACGAUGCAUAGCCGACCUGAGAGGGUGAUCGGCCACACUGGAACUGAGACACGGUCCAGACUCCUACGGGAGGCAGCAGUAGGGAAUCUUCCGCAAUGGGCGAAAGCCUGACGGAGCAACGCCGCGUGAGUGAUGAAGGUCUUCGGAUCGUAAAACUCUGUUAUUAGGGAAGAACAUAUGUGUAAGUAACUGUGCACAUCUUGACGGUACCUAAUCAGAAAGCCACGGCUAACUACGUGCCAGCAGCCGCGGUAAUACGUAGGUGGCAAGCGUUAUCCGGAAUUAUUGGGCGUAAAGCGCGCGUAGGCGGUUUUUUAAGUCUGAUGUGAAAGCCCACGGCUCAACCGUGGAGGGUCAUUGGAAACUGGAAAACUUGAGUGCAGAAGAGGAAAGUGGAAUUCCAUGUGUAGCGGUGAAAUGCGCAGAGAUAUGGAGGAACACCAGUGGCGAAGGCGACUUUCUGGUCUGUAACUGACGCUGAUGUGCGAAAGCGUGGGGAUCAAACAGGAUUAGAUACCCUGGUAGUCCACGCCGUAAACGAUGAGUGCUAAGUGUUAGGGGGUUUCCGCCCCUUAGUGCUGCAGCUAACGCAUUAAGCACUCCGCCUGGGGAGUACGACCGCAAGGUUGAAACUCAAAGGAAUUGACGGGGACCCGCACAAGCGGUGGAGCAUGUGGUUUAAUUCGAAGCAACGCGAAGAACCUUACCAAAUCUUGACAUCCUUUGACAACUCUAGAGAUAGAGCCUUCCCCUUCGGGGGACAAAGUGACAGGUGGUGCAUGGUUGUCGUCAGCUCGUGUCGUGAGAUGUUGGGUUAAGUCCCGCAACGAGCGCAACCCUUAAGCUUAGUUGCCAUCAUUAAGUUGGGCACUCUAAGUUGACUGCCGGUGACAAACCGGAGGAAGGUGGGGAUGACGUCAAAUCAUCAUGCCCCUUAUGAUUUGGGCUACACACGUGCUACAAUGGACAAUACAAAGGGCAGCGAAACCGCGAGGUCAAGCAAAUCCCAUAAAGUUGUUCUCAGUUCGGAUUGUAGUCUGCAACUCGACUACAUGAAGCUGGAAUCGCUAGUAAUCGUAGAUCAGCAUGCUACGGUGAAUACGUUCCCGGGUCUUGUACACACCGCCCGUCACACCACGAGAGUUUGUAACACCCGAAGCCGGUGGAGUAACCUUUUAGGAGCUAGCCGUCGAAGGUGGGACAAAUGAUUGGGGUGAAGUCGUAACAAGGUAGUCGUAUCGGAAGGUGCGGCUGGAUCACCU